GAUGAAGAACGUAGCGAAAUGCGAUAAGUAAUGUGAAUUGCAGAAUUCAGUGAACCAUCGAAUCUUUGAACGCACAUUGCGCCCUCCGGCAUUCCGGGGGGCAUGCCUGUCCGAGCGUCACGAAAACCCCAUCACACUCGUUGUGGUCAUGGCUGCAGUGAGUCGUCUCCAGCGGAGAGGGUCACGCCGCUGAAAGGAAUGGUGCGGAUGAGUUCCGAUGGCCGAACGUAGUACUUGACAACCGUCGGCCGAUGGGACCCUCCAUCUCGCCCUGACGACGUACCCCCGUCGUACCCCCGAUCAGGUGGACCUCGGAUCAGGUAGGGAUACCCGCUGAACUUAAGCAUAUCAAUAAGCGGAGGA
RNAcentral lists this unclassified non-coding RNA (363 nucleotides) under soil metagenome. RNAcentral's name for it is "partial contains 5.8S ribosomal RNA, internal transcribed spacer 2, and large subunit ribosomal RNA". The stretch from base 1 to 120 matches the Rfam family "5.8S ribosomal RNA", at positions 35 to 154 of the family's 154-position model. The record is from RNAcentral.